AUACGGAGGAUCCGAGCGUUAUCCGGAUUUAUUGGGUUUAAAGGGUGCGCAGGCGGCCAUUUAAGUCAGCGGUUAAAUCGUGGGGCUCAACCCCGUUCUGCCGUUGAUACUGGGUGGCUUGAUUGCGGUCGAGGUUGGCGGAAUUCGUUGUGUAGCGGUGAAAUGCAUAGAUAUGACGAAGAACACCGAUUGCGUAGGCAGCUGACCAGAUCGCAAAUGACGCUCAUGCGCGAAAGUGCGGGGAUCGAACAGGAUUAGAUACCCUGGUAGUCCGCACAGUAAACGAUGAAUACUUGUUUUCGGCGAUAUAAUGUCGGAGGCAAAGCGAAAGCGAUAAGUAUUCCACCUGGGGAGUACGCCGGCAACGGUGAAACUUAAAGGAAUUGACGGGG
RNAcentral lists this ribosomal RNA (392 nucleotides) under uncultured bacterium. RNAcentral describes it as "partial 16S ribosomal RNA". It matches the Rfam family "Bacterial small subunit ribosomal RNA", at positions 523 to 918 of the family's 1533-position model. The record is from RNAcentral.